This is a long non-coding RNA of Prionailurus viverrinus (fishing cat), 590 nucleotides long. RefSeq lists it as uncharacterized. The transcript has 3 exons. NCBI's taxonomy places the organism in Eukaryota, Metazoa, Chordata, Mammalia, Carnivora, Felidae. The record is from RefSeq and is a predicted model, not a curated record.
CUUUCGUUCGUUGGUUCAUUCAUUCGUUUAGCAAAUGUUCCGUGCUGCCAGCCUCUAUUGCGCCAGGCUCUGUGCCAGGUCCUCGGGGUGCCAACUCGAAUACCCCACACUUGCCUUCACUUCAUCCGUCAUCCGAUAUUUAUUGGGAACCAAACGAUAAAUCCACCGAUUCUGCUGGAUCUCUGCCCUCUAAGAGCUUACAUUCUAGAGGAAGAGACAUAGUCCAAGCCGACAAAUAGGUGAAGAUGAUGUCAGAUCUCUGACCAAGCCCGGGAGGCAUUUCCAUUGCUUCUUCACUGCUGCUCAUAAUUUUGAGGUUUGCUUCUAUGUCACCCAGGAGGGAAGUCUCACUUGACCAAACAUCUCGGCAAGUGUGAACAAAGCAGCUAAGAAUAUUCAUGUGCAGGUUUUUGUGUGGACAUACGUUUUCAACUUAAUGCAGAAUGUCAUGGGUUUUUUAGAGGUGUGUUGUUUAAUUUCCCAAUAUUUGGGGUUUUGCCUGAUAUCUUAUUGCCAUGUAUUUCUAAUUAAUCCUGCUGUGGUCAAAGAAUAUACUCUAUAAGAUUUUAACCUUCUGAAAUUUGCUAAAA